Molecule: ribosomal RNA, 429 nt
Filed under: Actinomycetes bacterium
Lineage: Bacteria; Bacillati; Actinomycetota; Actinomycetes
Description: Actinobacteria bacterium partial 16S ribosomal RNA
Rfam family: Bacterial small subunit ribosomal RNA
Source: RNAcentral
UAGGGAAUCUUCCGCAAUGGGCGAAAGCCUGACGGAGCAACGCCGCGUGAGUGAUGAAGGUCUUCGGAUCGUAAAACUCUGUUAUUAGGGAAGAACAAAUGUGUAAGUAACUAUGCACGUCUUGACGGUACCUAAUCAGAAAGCCACGGCUAACUACGUGCCAGCAGCCGCGGUAAUACGUAGGUGGCAAGCGUUAUCCGGAAUUAUUGGGCGUAAAGCGCGCGUAGGCGGUUUUUUAAGUCUGAUGUGAAAGCCCACGGCUCAACCGUGGAGGGUCAUUGGAAACUGGAAAACUUGAGUGCAGAAGAGGAAAGUGGAAUUCCAUGUGUAGCGGUGAAGUGCGCAGAGAUAUGGAGGAACACCAGUGGCGAAGGCGACUUUCUGGUCUGUAACUGACGCUGAUGUGCGAAAGCGUGGGGAUCAAACAGG